Molecule: ribosomal RNA, 2889 nt
Filed under: human gut metagenome
Description: bacterial LSU rRNA
Rfam family: Bacterial large subunit ribosomal RNA
Source: RNAcentral
AGCGUACACGGUGGAUGCCCUGGCAGUCAGAGGCGAUGAAGGACGUGCUAAUCUGCGAAAAGCGUCGGUAAGGUGAUAUGAACCGUUACAGCCGGCGAUGUCCGAAUGGGGAAACCCAGUGCAAUUCGUUGCACUAUCGUUAACUGAAUACAUAGGUUAACGAGGCGAACCGGGGGAACUGAAACAUCUAAGUACCCCGAGGAAAAGAAAUCAACCGAGAUUCCCCCAGUAGCGGCGAGCGAACGGGGAGCAGCCCAGAGUCUGAAUCAGCUUGUGUGUUAGUGGAACGGUCUGGAAAGUCCGACGGUACAGGGUGAUAGUCCCGUACACCAAAAUGCACAGGUUGUGAACUCGAAGAGUAGGGCGGGACACGUGGUAUCCUGUCUGAAUAUGGGGGGACCAUCCUCCAAGGCUAAAUACUCCUGACUGACCGAUAGUGAACCAGUACCGUGAGGGAAAGGCGAAAAGAACCCCGGCGAGGGGAGUGAAAAAGAACCUGAAACCGUGUACGUACAAGCAGUGGGAGCACCUUCGGGUGUGACUGCGUACCUUUUGUAUAAUGGGUCAGCGACUUAUAUUCUGUAGCAAGGUUAACCGUAUAGGGGAGCCGCAGGGAAACCGAGUCUUAACUGGGCGUUAAGUUGCAGGGUAUAGACCCGAAACCCGGUGAUCUAGCCAUGGGCAGGUUGAAGGUUGGGUAACACUAACUGGAGGACCGAACCGACUAAUGUUGAAAAAUUAGCGGAUGACUUGUGGCUGGGGGUGAAAGGCCAAUCAAACCGGGAGAUAGCUGGUUCUCCCCGAAAGCUAUUUAGGUAGCGCCUCGUGAACUCAUCUUCGGGGGUAGAGCACUGUUUCGGCUAGGGGGUCAUCCCGACUUACCAACCCGAUGCAAACUACGAAUACCGAAGAAUGUUAUCACGGGAGACACACGGCGGGUGCUAACGUCCGUCGUGAAGAGGGAAACAACCCAGACCGCCAGCUAAGGUCCCAAAGUCACAGUUAAGUGGGAAACGAUGUGGGAAGGCACAGACAGCCAGGAUGUUGGCUUAGAAGCAGCCAUCAUUUAAAGAAAGCGUAAUAGCUCACUGGUCGAGUCGGCCUGCGCGGAAGAUGUAACGGGGCUAAACUGUGCACCGAAGCUGCGGCAGCGACACUAUGUGUUGUUGGGUAGGGGAGCGUUCUGUAAGCCUGCGAAGGUGGCCUGUGAGGGUUGCUGGAGGUAUCAGAAGUGCGAAUGCUGACAUAAGUAACGAUAAUGCGGGUGAAAAGCCCGCACGCCGGAAGACCAAGGGUUCCUGUCCAACGUUAAUCGGGGCAGGGUGAGUCGACCCCUAAGGCGAGGCCGAAAGGCGUAGUCGAUGGGAAACAGGUUAAUAUUCCUGUACUUGGUGUUACUGCGAAGGGGGGACGGAGAAGGCUAUGUUAGCCGGGCGACGGUUGUCCCGGUUUAAGCAUGUAGGCGGAGGUUCCAGGUAAAUCCGGUACCUUUUAACGCUGAGGUGUGAUGACGAGGCACUACGGUGCUGAAGUAACAAAUGCCCUGCUUCCAGGAAAAGCCUCUAAGCAUCAGGUAACAUUAAAUCGUACCCCAAACCGACACAGGUGGUCAGGUAGAGAAUACCAAGGCGCUUGAGAGAACUCGGGUGAAGGAACUAGGCAAAAUGGUGCCGUAACUUCGGGAGAAGGCACGCUGAUAUGUAGGUGAAGCCCCUGCGGGUGGAGCUGAAAUCAGUCGAAGAUACCAGCUGGCUGCAACUGUUUAUUAAAAACACAGCACUGUGCAAACACGAAAGUGGACGUAUACGGUGUGACGCCUGCCCGGUGCCGGAAGGUUAAUUGAUGGGGUUAUCCGUAAGGAGAAGCUCUUGAUCGAAGCCCCGGUAAACGGCGGCCGUAACUAUAACGGUCCUAAGGUAGCGAAAUUCCUUGUCGGGUAAGUUCCGACCUGCACGAAUGGCGUAAUGAUGGCCAGGCUGUCUCCACCCGAGACUCAGUGAAAUUGAACUCGCUGUGAAGAUGCAGUGUACCCGCGGCAAGACGGAAAGACCCCGUGAACCUUUACUAUAGCUUGACACUGAACAUUGAGCCUUGAUGUGUAGGAUAGGUGGGAGGCUUUGAAGCGUGGACGCCAGUCUGCGUGGAGCCAACCUUGAAAUACCACCCUUUAAUGUUUGAUGUUCUAACGUUGGCCCCUGACCGGGGUUGCGGACAGUGUCUGGUGGGUAGUUUGACUGGGGCGGUCUCCUCCCAAAGAGUAACGGAGGAGCACGAAGGUUAGCUAAUCCUGGUCGGACAUCAGGAGGUUAGUGCAAUGGCAUAAGCUAGCUUGACUGCGAGCGUGACGGCGCGAGCAGGUGCGAAAGCAGGUCAUAGUGAUCCGGUGGUUCUGAAUGGAAGGGCCAUCGCUCAACGGAUAAAAGGUACUCCGGGGAUAACAGGCUGAUACCGCCCAAGAGUUCAUAUCGACGGCGGUGUUUGGCACCUCGAUGUCGGCUCAUCACAUCCUGGGGCUGAAGUAGGUCCCAAGGGUAUGGCUGUUCGCCAUUUAAAGUGGUACGCGAGCUGGGUUUAGAACGUCGUGAGACAGUUCGGUCCCUAUCUGCCGUGGGCGCUGGAGAAUUGAGGGGGGCUGCUCCUAGUACGAGAGGACCGGAGUGGACGCAUCACUGGUGUUCGGGUUGUCAUGCCAAUGGCAUUGCCCGGUAGCUAAAUGCGGAAGAGAUAAGUGCUGAAAGCAUCUAAGCACGAAACUUGCCCCGAGAUGAGUUCUCCCUGAGACUUUAAGUCUCCUGAAGGAACGUUAAAGACGAUGACGUUGAUAGGUCGGGUGUGUAAGCGUAGCGAUACGUUGAGCUAACCGAUACUAAUGAACCGUGAGGCUUAACC